Molecule: non-coding RNA, 554 nt
Organism: Cinara cedri
Lineage: Eukaryota; Metazoa; Arthropoda; Insecta; Hemiptera; Aphididae
Source: the annotation of a GenBank genome assembly
UUCUAAAAAUCAUGUUUUUGUUUCAUUUUAAAAUCAUACCCCAUCACCAUAAAAAAAAAAAAAAAAUUGAAUUAGAUACUACCAUGGUACACAAAUACCUAUAUAUUAGUGUAAUAGUGUUUAUUUUAUAAUAUUUAUUAUUAUAUCUAUGAAUCUAUCAAUAAAGAACCACAAAUACACUGUAUUAUACAGAUUUUAGAUUGGCUUGUGUACAAUUUUAAAAUGAUAAUUAUUGUAUGAUCGGUAGUCAAAGUUUUUUAAAAUUUGUAUUUACGCUUACAAUUAUAUAAAUAUAAAAAAAAUCAGUAAAAAUAUUUUUUGAUUAAAAAAAAAAAAAACUUCAGCGUAGUUUACAAUUAGGAAAAAUAAAAUUGAUAAUUAAUAAUUUAGGAAUAGUUUUUAAUAGUUUUAAUAAAGUUAAUGAAUAAACUAAUUACUAUUAUAUAGUGAAUACUAAAUAUUAUAAAUUAAAAUUCUUUAUUUAUUAAUUUUAUUUAAGACAUUUUUAUGAAAUGUAAAAUAGGUAUUUUGUAUAAUAAUAUAAAUGGUAUUUU